GUGAAGUGGGGCUUUCUUUUUCAGAGGUGGUUCAAUCUGAAAUGUGUGAUGCUGGGGUUAAGGGCAUGUGAUUAAUAAACCAGUGAGUGAUUGGUUUGGCACCGCCCUAAGCUUGGCAGUCUGGAUAAAAUAAGAGGAACAAAAGACGCUGUUUGCUUUUGCUACCCUGUGAGCACCACGGACUGUUUCUCUUCUGUGACACCUCUCUGCUGUGUGCUACUCUGCCUUGGAGACAGCUGACUAUGGACAAAAACCUCUACAAACUGUAGAUAAGAACCUAAAGAUUAAAAUCAGAGAGAACUGCAAAGAAGAUCAGAAAUUUAAUAUAUCGGGAAGAUCAAGGCCCUCAAUUGUUUAUGGAGCCUGAUAGAAGUUUCAUCAGGUGCUACUGACUCUUAGGACUCAGAAGGUUCCCCUCUCUCCUGUGUUUGAGCUGUUCCAGUUCUCAGCCUGAACUUCGCACCCCUCAUACAGUGGCCUGGGGAUUUCUGAAUCUGUCACACCAUGAGCAAGCAGAAGAGGAAGAGCAAUAUUUCUGGACUAUUCAUCAAGACAUCUCAUUCCACAAGCAGCAUCUGACUUUGUUAAGAAACAAAAAGGCAUUCAACCAGAAGCCAGAGGCAACAUGAUUUAUGGGGUUGGAAGAAUCAUUGUUUUAACCAUCUCAAAAUAGAAUCUUCUCUAUAAGAGCAAGGAUCAUGUUUCAUUUCUGAAUGCUACUGCCUAGCUCAGCAUCUGCUACACAGCAGGCAC
RNAcentral lists this long non-coding RNA (753 nucleotides) under Heterocephalus glaber (naked mole-rat). Its description in RNAcentral is "lncRNA (ENSHGLG00000050415.1)". The record is from RNAcentral. Lineage: Eukaryota; Metazoa; Chordata; Mammalia; Rodentia; Bathyergidae.